AUGUCGGGGGAAAAGACGGUGUCUUUUUGCACCACGGAUAGUGUGCAGGGCAGCCACGUGUUCAGUGUUUCCGGGUACAGCAAGCAAAGGGGCAUGGGCUGCGGCAAGUUCAUCAGAUCCGGCGCCUUCUUGGUCGGAGGCCACGAAUGGGCCAUCCGCUUCUAUCCCGAUGGGUUUAACGAUGAUUACCGAAAUUUCAUCUCAGUUUACGCCGAGCUCUUGAGUAAGGACGCCGAGGUGCAUGCAUCCUGCGACAUGAGGCUGGUCAAUCAGACCACCCGGUUAUCCUCUUCCCUGGACAAGACGGAACCAAGGCUAUUCAACCAGACCAAUCUCAGCAGGUUUGCCCCACAAACGGCUGCCUUCAUGGCAAGGAGCGCGUUCGAAUCGUCGGCAUACCUACGGGAUGACAAACUCGAGGUCGAAUGCAUCAUCACUGUCAUGAAAAAAGCACGGGUGUCUGAAACCAAGGCGCCCCUGUCCGGCAUCGCUGCGCAGCUUAGCAAGCUGUUGGAAGCAAAUGAUAUUCCAGCGGACAUCACAUUCAGCGUUGGAGGUGUGGUUUUCGGAGCACACAAGCUUGUCCUUGCUAUACGGUCACCUGUGUUUAAGGCAGAGUUCUACGGGCCGAUGAAGCAGACAGAAACGCCGCUCAUAACCAUCAAGGACAUGCAACCUGAUGUCUUCAAGGCCCUGCUCCAUUUCAUCUACACCGAAUCAUUGCAGAUCACAGAUGAUCUCGAGGGAAAUGACCGCAUUGAGAUGGUCCAGCACUUGCUCGUGGCUGCUGAUCGGUAUGAUAUGGAAUGGCUAAAACUGGUAUGUGAGAAAAUCCUUUGCGAUAAUCUUGAGUGGAGAAUGUUGCAACUAUGCUGGCUUUAG
RNAcentral lists this ribosomal RNA (882 nucleotides) under Triticum aestivum (bread wheat). Its description in RNAcentral is "partial small subunit ribosomal RNA". The record is from RNAcentral. Lineage: Eukaryota; Viridiplantae; Streptophyta; Magnoliopsida; Poales; Poaceae.